This 322-nucleotide ribosomal RNA is filed under the name uncultured eukaryote. RNAcentral's name for it is "partial 18S ribosomal RNA". It matches the Rfam family "Eukaryotic small subunit ribosomal RNA", at positions 1470 to 1796 of the family's 1831-position model. The record is from RNAcentral.
CCCUUAGAUGUUCUGGGCCGCACGCGUGCUACACUGAGUGGAUCAGCGGGUCAGGUUACGCGAGAGCGUUUCCUAAUCUUCAAAUCCGCUCGUGAUGGGGAUUGACGGUUGCAAUUUUCCGUCAUGAACGAGGAAUACCUUGUAAGCGCGGGUCAUCAUCCCGCGCUGAAUACGUCCCUGCCCUUUGUACACACCGCCCGUCGCUCCUACCGAUCGAGUGGUCCGGUGAGGCUUUGGGAUCUAAGCGAAAAGAGCGUUUCGCUCCUUUUGCUGGGAGAACUCAGUCGAACCUUAUCAUUUAGAGGAAGGAGAAGUCGUAACA